AGCCCUGUUCCUGCUCCGGCUCCUGCGGGGAUGGAUGCUUCACGCAGUAAGCGACCUAAGUCGCGGAAGCGUAGACACCCGGCUUUUCCCGCGUGCUCUAUCGGGCUCCCCUGGACACGGAGGGUGGAGCAGAAAGAGCAGAGGGGCCGGUGGGAGCCAUGGGGAGUCCGCCUAGCUCCAGAGGACACCUUACCUGGAUCCGCCUUUGUAGCCUCCUCCUGGCUCUGGGGGCUGUCCUGUGGGGUCCGAGUAGCUGAAAGACAGCCCCUCCAUGUGAGGAAGCCCCCAACUGGGGAAAACCCCCUCGUGGACUCAUUCCUGUCCCUGCAUGUGGCCUUCACCUGACUGUCUGCAUUGAGGCAUCCUCUGCCAAGAGCAAUUUCAAAGUGGCAGAAGCUGACAAGUACCUGCCGGAAAAACUGCCUCUUUUCCCUCCCGUGCUUGGAGCAGGCAUUGCUGACAGAUCACAGCUGCUGGGCCCAAAGGUCCCUUUGCACGCGGGACUUCAGGAAGUUGCUGCUGACCUAUGGGAGUUGGUGCAGAAAGAUGAAAUUUGUUAUCCUUGGCUGUAUCAACUCUCUCUCCUCUCCUUGGUGGUGAUAGUUUUGUUCUUAAAAGCCUCUUGUGAGAGAAUUUGUGGAUGAAGAACCUGUAAGAUCACAAGUGAAACAAUUUAUUGAUGUCAAUAGAUUUAUACACGUUCAUUAAGAAUCAAAACUAAACUAAAACAUCAGUCUGACUAAAGAGACCACCACAGAUAUUUCAUAUGCUGUACAUCAGUAACAAAGGGUACCAAAUAGUUAAUAUCCAUGUACUAGUCACAUGAGAAAUGUUUUAGGGUCAUUGACCAGUGUAGUCAGUACAGUGGUCCCAUGGUAUUUGUGGGGGAUUGGUUCCAGGAAUCUCUUGGACACCAACUCCGUGGAUGAUCAGACAAUAUAAAAUGUGGGUCAGGUGCGGUGGCUCAUACCUGUAAUCCCAGCAUUUUGCGAGAAUCACUUGAGGCCAGUUCAAGAUCAGCCUGUGCAACAUAGCAAGACUCCACCUCUAAAAAAAAAAAAAAAAAAAAAAA
Molecule: long non-coding RNA, 1072 nt
Organism: Homo sapiens (human)
Lineage: Eukaryota; Metazoa; Chordata; Mammalia; Primates; Hominidae
Source: Ensembl